This 1687-nucleotide ribosomal RNA is filed under the name Tylenchus naranensis. RNAcentral's name for it is "SSU rRNA". It matches the Rfam family "Eukaryotic small subunit ribosomal RNA". The record is from RNAcentral. Lineage: Eukaryota; Metazoa; Nematoda; Chromadorea; Rhabditida; Tylenchidae.
AUGUAUAAGUAUAAACGAUUUUAAUCGUGAAACCGCGAACGGCUCAUUAUAACAGCUAUAAUUUACUUGAUCUUGACAAUCCUACUUGGAUAACUGUGGUAAUUCUAGAGCUAAUACAUGCACCAAAGCUCUGACCUUGCAGAAGGGAAGAGUGCAUUUAUUAUUUGAAAACCAAGCGGCUUCGGUCGUUUUUUGUUGACUCAGAAUAACUAAGCUGAUCGCAUGGUCUUGUACCGGCGACGUGUCUUUCAAGUAUCUGCCUUAUCAACUUUCGAUGGUAGUGUAUUUGACUACCAUGGUGGUGACGGGUAACGGAGGAUAAGGGUUCGACUCCGGAGAAGGGGCCUGAGAAAUGGCCACUACGUCUAAGGAUGGCAGCAGGCGCGCAAAUUACCCACUCUCAGAACAUUGAGGAGGUAGUGACGAAAAAUAACGAGACCGUUCUCUACGAGGCCGGUCAUCGGAAUGGGUACAAUCUAAACCCUUUAACGAGUAUCUAUGAGAGGGCAAGUCUGGUGCCAGCAGCCGCGGUAAUUCCAGCUCUCAAAAUGCAUAGAAUUAUUGCUGCGGUUAAAAAGCUCGUAGUUGGAUCUGUGCCAGGGAGUCGGUCGUACUUUCGAGUGCGUACUGCUAACCCGGGCUUUGCUUGCCGGUUUUCUCCUCGUCGGUCUUAAUCGACUGCGGGGGGUGGCUGGCGAUUUUACUUUGAACAAAUCAGAGUGCUUAACACAGGCGUUUCGCUUGAAUGUUCUUGCAUGGAAUAAUAGAAAAGGAUUUCGGUUCUAUUUUAUUGGUUUUAUAGACUGAGAUAAUGGUUAACAGAGACAAACGGGGGCAUUCGUAUUGCUGCGUGAGAGGUGAAAUUCUUGGACCGCAGMAAGACGMACUACAGCGAAAGCAUUUGCCAAGAAUGUCUUCAUUAAUCAAGAACGAAAGUCAGAGGWUCGAAGGCGAUCAGAUACCGCCCUAGUUCUGACCGUAAACGAUGCCAACUAGCGAUCUGUCGGCGGCGUUUUUUCGCUCUGAUAGGGAGCUUCCCGGAAACGAAAGUCUUCCGGUUCCGGGGGAAGUAGUUGCAAAGCUGAAACUUAAAGGAAGACGGAAAGGCACCACCAGGAGUGGAGCCUGCGGCUUAAUUUGACUCAACACGGGAAACCUCACCCGGGCCGGACACCAUAAGGAUUGACAAAUUGACAGCUUUUUCAUGAUUCGGUGGUUGGUGGUGCAUGGCCGUUCUUAGUUCGUGGAGCGAUUUGUCUGGUUUAUUCCGAUAACGAGCGAGACUCUAGUGCUAAAUAGUUGGCGCAUUACACUGUGCGCCCUAACUUCUUAGAGGGAUUUACGGCGUUUAGCCGCAAGAGAAUGAGCAAUAAGGUCUGUGAUGCCCUUAGAUGUCCGGGGCUGCACGCGCGCUACACUGGCGGAAUCAGUGUUCUCACCUCCUGUCGAAAGACUAUGGGUGAAAAUCCGCCGUGAUUGGGAUCGGAAAUUGAAAAUUUUCCGUGAAAGGAAUUCCAAGUAAGUGCGAGUCAUUAACUCGUUGAUUACGUCCCUGCCCUUUGUACACAGCCCGUCGCUACCCGGGACUGAGUUAUUUCGAGAAAUUUGAAGAUCGGUGGGCUGUGCGGUGCCUCCGGGUGCUGCCUCUCGUCGAGAAUCAACUUAAUCGAGAUGGCUUGAACCGGGU